GCAAGGUUCCAUUCAAAGCCCAGUGAAACCUUCUGACAGCUACAAAUGAAAAUUAAUCUGGCCUGCAGGAUCUACUUCGAACUCCAAACUACUGAAAAAAGUAAUUAGUAACAACUCAAUGCCACGUGAGAUCAGAGAUUUGCUGUGAAAGAAAGAAAAUGAGCCAACUACGUCAUGAGUUUCAAAUCAAGGAAAACAAACAGCAAGAACUGCAUCCACUUGGUUUUGCUCCCCAUGGUGAAAAACAAUUACUGAGAUAGAAUCCAACCAACAUGAGUUUAAGCAAAAUCUAAGAAGAUAAGCUGGAACAGAAGUAUUUCCUCAGCAAAAGCAUGAGAUGAGAGCAUCAUUCACGGGAGGAAAAGCCAUGGGUACACACGGCAGCAGAACCAAAUCAACUACCAAUAAAAUCUUUAUCCACUCCUAUAUAUUUCAUAGCACAAUUCUUUGGGAAAAAAAUGGCUUCUCAUACAUGUCCUUUAGGACUUAUGAUUUUUGAACUCCUAGAAGCAGUAACAUAGUUGAUGGUUUCAUUAAAAAGAGUCUCCCUCUGAAAUGUUUUAAGAGGCCAAGCAUAAAACAUUCAUUCAAAUAAGCCUCGUGACCCCUGUCAGAUGCUCUCAGCAAAAGGAAAUCUAAUAUGCUACAGAGCUCCUAAUAAAACAUUUAUGUAUGCUUUUCCAGAACAGUAUAGUACCACUUGUAAAAAUUAUUACCAAUGCAAUUUUUAUAAUACUCAGCCUGUGUAAGCCUAGGAAGA
Long non-coding RNA from Gallus gallus (chicken), 760 nucleotides. RefSeq lists it as uncharacterized. The transcript is spliced from 3 exons. The record is from RefSeq and is a predicted model, not a curated record. NCBI's taxonomy places the organism in Eukaryota, Metazoa, Chordata, Aves, Galliformes, Phasianidae.